AAGUCGUAACAAGGUUUCCGUAGGUGAACCUGCGGAAGGAUCAUUAACACGUUAUACACGUAUCUACAUCUCCGCGAACUUAUUUUUCACAAGUUGGUUGGCCAGCGUAGCAAUGGAGGUAGAUUUUUACUAUGUCGACCUAAAAAACUCCUGGAUGUCCGGAGUUUCUUUGGUUGUUCUACCUGCCUAUCCGAAAUGCCUUCGUGUGUUUUGGGUAUUCUGGCUCAUAUGACUUGAAUCAUAGUAGUAUCUCUAUUAAACCUUUUUAUUAAUAUGUAAGAAUUUGUGAUGGCUGUGUUAAUUCGCAGCUCACGUUAAACAAACACUAUACAACUCUUAGCAACGGAUAUCUCGGUUCU
This 359-nucleotide unclassified non-coding RNA is filed under the name fungal sp. RNAcentral describes it as "partial internal transcribed spacer region". The stretch from base 1 to 46 matches the Rfam family "Eukaryotic small subunit ribosomal RNA", at positions 1786 to 1831 of the family's 1831-position model. The record is from RNAcentral. Lineage: Eukaryota; Fungi.